AUGGAUUGGGAUUGGAGAGAGAAGUACGAGGUGGCUUGGGCCUUGGGUGCUCCUAAUGCGCAACUGACACAAAAGGCACAAGGUGCUGAUGAUUGCAGUGACUCAGAGUAUGACCGAGAUGCUGAAGAGGAGGCCUAUGUAGAGGAAGAGGAUUUGAGAGAUGAAGAGGAGGUCGCUCUUGCUAAGUCCAAAGCAAUGAAAAUAUGUCAAAUGAAUAAGGAAAACCGAGAAGCUGUCAGGCAACACCAAAAGACGGGAUAUAUGUCCUAUGUUUCCUAUUUCAGCAAACUUAAUGCGAUGGAAAAGAAAAGGGAAGCACAAUCAGAAGGUGAGCAGCCAGUAUCCGAUAAAUCGAUUGUGGCUGAAGUUCUAAAGGAAGAAAGCGCCCAUAGCACCGUCCUUUCUAGCAUGGGGCAUCGGGAGGAGUUAGUCGCAAGACUUGAAGCACGAGAGAGAGCAUUUUAA
RNAcentral lists this ribosomal RNA (465 nucleotides) under Triticum aestivum (bread wheat). RNAcentral describes it as "partial small subunit ribosomal RNA". Lineage: Eukaryota; Viridiplantae; Streptophyta; Magnoliopsida; Poales; Poaceae. The record is from RNAcentral.